AGGACGAACGCUGGCGGCACGCUUAACACAUGCAAGUCGAACGGAGAUAUUUGAGUUACUAGGAUAGUCUUAGUGGCGGACGGGUGAGUAACACGUGAGCAACCUGCCUUGGAGAGAGGGAUAGCUUCUGGAAACGGAUGGUAAUACCUCAUAACAUACAGAGACCGCAUGAUUUCUGUAUCAAAGAUUUAUCACGUCUGAGAUGGGCUCGCGUCUGAUUAGCUAGAUGGUGAGGUAACGGCCCACCAUGGCGACGAUCAGUAGCCGGACUGAGAGGUUGAACGGCCACAUUGGGACUGAGACACGGCCCAGACUCCUACGGGAGGCAGCAGUGGGGAAUAUUGCACAAUGGGGGAAACCCUGAUGCAGCGAUGCCGCGUGGAGGAAGAAGGUUUUCGGAUUGUAGACUCCUGUCUUAAAGGACGAUAAUGACGGUACUUUAGGAGGAAGCUCCGGCUAACUACGUGCCAGCCGCAGC
RNAcentral lists this ribosomal RNA (478 nucleotides) under uncultured bacterium. RNAcentral describes it as "bacterial SSU rRNA". It matches the Rfam family "Bacterial small subunit ribosomal RNA", at positions 26 to 518 of the family's 1533-position model. The record is from RNAcentral.